UUACGGUUAUAUCACGUUGAAACAUCGGUUCCUGUAUAAUCACCGAAGUUAAGCAACGUCUAGCCUGGUCAGUACCGAGAUGAGUGACCACUUGGAAAUACCACGUGCUGUAA
This is a non-coding RNA of Acanthosepion pharaonis, 113 nucleotides long. Lineage: Eukaryota; Metazoa; Mollusca; Cephalopoda; Sepiida; Sepiidae. The record is from the annotation of a GenBank genome assembly.